UUGGUCGGAAGGAUUGGUCAUGUUUGUCAGUGGGAUGUCGUUUUGGUGGUGGGGACGGUGCCACGUCCUUGGAAUAAAGUGCUUCUACUCUUCUCCCACAUCGAUGAAGCAUCCAUUGACGGCGUCGAGGAACAAGUAGCCAGGUCUUCUAGAUGGUCUUCGGAUCUAGCGAGUGUAAGAGUUGUUGGCUGGUGCUCGGUGCCCUCUUCGAAGGUCGCGAGCUCGGCCUGCGUAGUUGUGUUUGGGGUCUUGCAGUAGGAUGCUUGGAUGGCGGCAGACUGCGACGUUUCGCUUCUUCAACCGUGUUGGAUGAAGUUGAUGGCGUCGAGAUUUAAUGAACAUGGGGAUGAACCCCGGCCGACGUGCCACAAAGUCUCGGUCUCGUCGCUUGCGUCGGUCCGGUUCAUCGGCUCGGAAAGCAUGCUUGUAUGCGAAGGUGCUCUCUUAGAUCUUGGUAUGGUGGAUGUUUUCCUUUUUCUCUCGCGUUGCCAUGGUGAUGGUGGUAGAUAAAGGUGGGCAACGAUUCGGCAAGGCUCUCUACUAGUAAAAUUUUAGUUUCACUUGUUGUAGAAUUCUUGGUGCAAAAAUUGUAAAACUUGUGUGUAUGUCUCAUGUGAUAACUGCGUAUGUACUCUAUGUAAUAAGUUUGUCUAACGAAAUAUAUGUGGUUAUUUCAAAAGAAAAAAACGAUGUCUCCG
Molecule: long non-coding RNA, 698 nt
Filed under: Hordeum vulgare
Lineage: Eukaryota; Viridiplantae; Streptophyta; Magnoliopsida; Poales; Poaceae
Description: long non-coding RNA (HVUL_LNC002409)
Source: RNAcentral